GACGAACGCUGGCGGCGUGCUUAACACAUGCAAGUCGAACGGAAAGGCCCUGCUUUUGUGGGGUGCUCGAGUGGCGAACGGGUGAGUAACACGUGAGUAACCUGCCCUUGACUUUGGGAUAACUUCAGGAAACUGGGGCUAAUACCGGAUAGGAGCUCCUGCUGCAUGGUGGGGGUUGGAAAGUUUCGGCGGUUGGGGAUGGACUCGCGGCUUAUCAGCUUGUUGGUGGGGUAGUGGCUUACCAAGGCUUUGACGGGUAGCCGGCCUGAGAGGGUGACCGGCCACAUUGGGCCUGAGAGACGGCGCAGACUCCUACGGGAGGCAGCAGUGGGGAAUAUUGCACAAUGGGCGGAAGCCUGAUGCAGCAACGCCGCGUGCGGGAUGACGGCCUUCGGGUUGUAAACCGCUUUCGCCUGUGACGAAGCGUGAGUGACGGUAAUGGGUAAAGAAGCACCGGCUAACUACGUG
This 468-nucleotide ribosomal RNA is filed under the name uncultured bacterium. RNAcentral's name for it is "partial 16S ribosomal RNA". It matches the Rfam family "Bacterial small subunit ribosomal RNA", at positions 28 to 507 of the family's 1533-position model. The record is from RNAcentral.